UCCCUGAAGAUCCUUUCUUGUGUGGUAAU
This 29-nucleotide non-coding RNA is filed under the name Rattus norvegicus (Norway rat). The record is from RNAcentral. Lineage: Eukaryota; Metazoa; Chordata; Mammalia; Rodentia; Muridae.